GACUCGGCGAGAAGUCCAUUGAACCUUAUCAUUUAGAGGAAGGAGAAGUCGUAACAAGGUUUCCGUAGGUGAACCUGCGGAAGGAUCAUUGUCGAGACCGAAACAUUACACCGAGCGAUUCGGAGAACCCGUGAAACGACGUGCGGCGGCCGCCGCCGCGGAACGGCCGUCCAUGCCGUCGCCCCGUCUCCUCUUUUCCGGGGGGAGGCGGCGCGGCGGAGAGGACGGAAGAAAACACAAACCGGCGCAGCAUCGCGCCAAGGGAAAGCUGAAAGGCACGAGCCCCACGUCGGGCUCGUUGGCGUGGAGUGCUGUUGCACGCCAUGCGGAUGACACGACUCUCGGCAAUGGAUAUCUCGGCUCUCGCAUCGAUGAAGAGCGCAGCGAAAUGCGAUACGUGGUGCGAAUUGCAGAAUCCCGCGAACCAUCGAGUCUUUGAACGCAAGUUGCGCCUGAGGCCAGCCGGCCGAGGGCACGUCCGCCUGGGCGUCAAGCUUCGCGUCGCUCCGCGCCAGCUCCGUUCCGCCAGAUGGGGGUGACGGCCACGGCUCGGAUGUGCAGAGUGGCCCGUCGUGCCGGUCGGUGCGGCGGGCUGAAGAACGGGCUAUGCCUCGCCGGCCGCGAACAACAAGGGGUGGGUGAAAGCUGUGGGCGCAGCCUGCGUUGUCUCGUGCCGGCCUGAGAGAUGGAUUGUGCCCUCUAGGUGAUCCCGACCCAAGCGCCGACCCGGACGCGUCGGCUUUGGAAUGCGACCCCAGGAUGGGCGAGGCCACCCGCUGAGUUUAAGCAUAUC
This 793-nucleotide ribosomal RNA is filed under the name Eulophia maculata. RNAcentral describes it as "eukaryotic LSU rRNA". The stretch from base 337 to 492 matches the Rfam family "5.8S ribosomal RNA". Lineage: Eukaryota; Viridiplantae; Streptophyta; Magnoliopsida; Asparagales; Orchidaceae. The record is from RNAcentral.